Molecule: ribosomal RNA, 465 nt
Filed under: uncultured Klebsiella sp.
Lineage: Bacteria; Pseudomonadati; Pseudomonadota; Gammaproteobacteria; Enterobacterales; Enterobacteriaceae
Description: bacterial SSU rRNA
Rfam family: Bacterial small subunit ribosomal RNA
Source: RNAcentral
CCUACGGGAGGCUGCAGUGGGGAAUAUUGUACAAUGGGCGCAAGCCUGAUGCAGCCAUGCCGCGUGUGUGAAGAAGGCCCUCGGGUUGUAAAGCACUUUCAGCGGGGAGGAAGGCGUUAAGGUUAAUAACCUUGGCGAUUGACGUUACCCGCAGAAGAAGCACCGGCUAACUCCGUGCCAGCAGCCGCGGUAAUACGGAGGGUGCAAGCGUUAAUCGGAAUUACUGGGCGUAAAGCGCACGCAGGCGGUCUGUCAAGUCGGAUGUGAAAUCCCCGGGCUCAACCUGGGAACUGCAUUCGAAACUGGCAGGCUAGAGUCUUGGAGAGGGGGGUAGAAUUCCAGGUGUAGCGGUGAAAUGCGUAGAGAUCUGGAGGAAUACCGGUGGCGAAGGCGGCCCCCUGGACAAAGACUGACGCUCAGGUGCGAAAGCGUGGGGAGCAAACAGGAUUAGAUACCCGUGUAGUC